AAACCAGGUGAUCUACCCUUGGUCAGGUUGAAGUUCAGGUAACACUGAAUGGAGGACCGAACCGACUUACGUUGAAAAGUGAGCGGAUGAACUGAGGGUAGCGGAGAAAUUCCAAUCGAACCUGGAGAUAGCUGGUUCUCUCCGAAAUAGCUUUAGGGCUAGCCUCAAGUGAUGAUUAUUGGAGGUAGAGCACUGUUUGGACGAGGGGCCCCUCUCGGGUUACCGAAUUCAGACAAACUCCGAAUGCCAAUUAAUUUAACUUGGGAGUCAGAACAUGGGUGAUAAGGUCCGUGUUCGAAAGGGAAACAGCCCAGACCACCAGCUAAGGUCCCAAAAUAUAUGUUAAGUGGAAAAGGAUGUGGCGUUGCCCAGACAACUAGGAUGUUGGCUUAGAAGCAGCCAUCAUUUAAAGAGUGCGUAAUAGCUCACUAGUCGAGUGACACUGCGCCGAAAAUGUACCGGGGCUAAACAUAUUACCGAAGCUGUGGAUUGUCCUUUGGACAAUGGUAGGAGAGCGUUCUAAGGGCGUUGAAGCAUGAUCGUAAGGACAUGUGGAGCGCUUAGAAGUGAGAAUGCCGGUGUGAGUAGCGAAAGACGGGUGAGAAUCCCGUCCACCGAUUGACUAAGGUUUCCAGAGGAAGGCUCGUCCGCUCUGGGUUAGUCGGGUCCUAAGCUGAGGCCGACAGGCGUAGGCGAUGGAUAACAGGUUGAUAUUCCUGUACCACCUAUAAUCGUUUUAAUCGAUGGGGGGACGCAGUAGGAUAGGCGAAGCGUGCGAUUGGAUUGCA
This 788-nucleotide ribosomal RNA is filed under the name Staphylococcus aureus. Its description in RNAcentral is "partial 23S ribosomal RNA". It matches the Rfam family "Bacterial large subunit ribosomal RNA", at positions 718 to 1508 of the family's 2925-position model. The record is from RNAcentral. Lineage: Bacteria; Bacillati; Bacillota; Bacilli; Caryophanales; Staphylococcaceae.